CAGUCGCCGCGGGAAUACGAAGGGGGCUAGCGUUGCUCGGAAUGACUGGGCGUAAAGGGCGCGUAGGCGGCGAUCAAAGUCAGGCGUGAAAUUCCUGGGCUCAACCUGGGGGCUGCGUUUGAUACUUGAUUGCUAGAGUGGGGAAGAGGGUCGUGGAAUUCCCAGUGUAGAGGUGAAAUUCGUAGAUAUUGGGAAGAACACCGGUGGCGAAGGCGGCGACCUGGUCCUUGACUGACGCUGAGGCGCGGAAGCGUGGGGAGCAAACAGGAUUAGAUACCCCAGUAGUCCCUGUCUCUUAUAC
RNAcentral lists this ribosomal RNA (301 nucleotides) under uncultured bacterium. RNAcentral's name for it is "partial 16S ribosomal RNA". It matches the Rfam family "Bacterial small subunit ribosomal RNA", at positions 509 to 807 of the family's 1533-position model. The record is from RNAcentral.